UAAAGAGGAAGAAGAGAAUAAGAGAAGGUGUAAGGUGCUGGUGCAUUUGCAGCUGAAUGCCAUCUUGGAAACCCCAUAAUCUCCCCUUUCUUCUACGCCUCUUUUCACUCAUAAACUCAACACCGUCACCAUCACCGUCCCCGCCCCGACUCACCAACGGCGUUCUAAAUGGUUGUCUUGGCUGGAGGUACGGCGGAGAAAUGAGUGUUAUCAGACAUCAUGGUAGAUAGAGAAGUGUGGUCGGUAGAAUCUAGAAUCUUCCUUUGCCCUAGCAAACUUUUGAUGGUACUCUCUGAGCGUGCAGUAGCCAAUGAGCCAGACCUAGGAGGUACGUAUACGAGCUUGCCUGGUAAGUUCCUCUGGGCUAUGUGUGAAGAAGUGCUAUACAUCCAACCUUGCCCAAACGAAAAAGCUAAGCUCAAGACCAUGCCUUGAUACUUUUAUGAAAUGAUAGUCAUGAUUACGUAUGUAUGCAUUUUUUUGACUAAAAGAGUGAAGUUACUUACAGAGUAUUCAAGACAAAAGUUGUAGCCCUUAUGUUAGAUCAUAUCGUUUUCAUUACUUUGAAUCUAUUGUUUCAUUUCCGUA
Molecule: long non-coding RNA, 588 nt
Organism: Cucurbita pepo subsp. pepo (vegetable marrow)
Lineage: Eukaryota; Viridiplantae; Streptophyta; Magnoliopsida; Cucurbitales; Cucurbitaceae
Source: RefSeq, a predicted model, not a curated record